This is a long non-coding RNA of Solanum pennellii, 1595 nucleotides long. RefSeq lists it as uncharacterized. The record is from RefSeq and is a predicted model, not a curated record. NCBI's taxonomy places the organism in Eukaryota, Viridiplantae, Streptophyta, Magnoliopsida, Solanales, Solanaceae. The transcript is spliced from 2 exons.
AGUGUUUUUCCCUAGUUGUUGAAUUCUACAGUUGUGAAGAGCUAUUACUAUUGUCGUUAGCUUGUUAACAUGCUAUUUUAACCAGUUAGAACUUCUUAUCAUUUCGUAUUUGUUUUCGACCUCUUUAGUAUUCUUUACUUCUGCCCUCUUUUUUUUAUUUGUGCUCUUGAAUACUAGAUGCUUCCCUUUUUUGUUCCGAGUAAUAAUCCAACUUAAUACCCAAGGGUGUGGUCGAGUGGUCAAUGAAGUAGGUUGAGAACUCUGAGGUCUCUGGUGUUCAAACUCUAGCGGAGACAAAAAAAAAAACACUAGGAGAUUUGUUUUCAUUUGUCCUAGCCUUGGGGGAGAAAGGUGAUAGAUAUCUCUUGUCGAGAUGUGCUCAAAGUCCGUCCCCAACUCCACGGUUAUUAGAAAAAAGGAAGACUAUUUCAACUCAUUAUUAUUUACCAAAUGAAGUAUGACUUUUGUGCAAUGCUUAUUUCUUGAUCCAGAAGUAUUUGACAAGGUCUAGUUGCUCUGAAUAGACCAAGUAAGAAACUAUUGGUUUGUUGGCAUAACCGUUUGAUCGUAGAUGGAAACGACUUCACCUUGAGCAUUUUCGGAUAAAAGGGACUGAGGUUGUUUCAGUCUAAUGUAACCUAUGCAACUAAGGUUUUGGUAACUUUAGCAACAACCCCUUUUUGUCAAGGACAUUUGAUCAAUCUUUAUAGCUGUAAGAGCACUUGGAACAACUUACUCUUGGCAACCCCACCAUGAAAGAAGUGGAAGUCUUUCGAAAAAAUGGGUCAUUGGAUGAUGCUCCCCCAUCAUUGUGAAAAAGUUGUGAGAGGACCCAAAGUUGAAGAAUACUGUCGGCAUGAAGCAACACAAGAGAGAGAUGCUUGAUAACGACAUGGCAACGAAGAUUGACUAAUUUUGCUGGUUACCAGAUGACUUUCAUUGAUGAAAAAACAUCAUUACCAGGUAAUAGUUCAAAUUUUUGAUCCGUUUUUCACCGUUGUUUUUACUUUCAAAUGAUGCAUUCAUCAUAAUUUGGAUAUAGUCUAAAGUAAUCUUUAUAUUCUUAGAAUUUGAUUUAACUUGACACCUCCCACAUUUUUUCAUUUGACUUCACUUUUACCAAUUGUAUUCAUGAACAGUGAAAGAACCAUAUACUCCAUGCUUGAUAUGUGACAUUUACUUGCUUUCCAUCUAUAGUGUAAAGGCACUACAACCACAACAAUAUACCAAGUGUAGUCGCACACAGUGGGGUCUAAGGAGGGUAGAGUGUACGCAGACCUUGAGGUUGAGAGGUUGUUUCCUAUAGAACCCUGACUCAUAGUUCUUGGAAAGCUCUCGUUUUUCAAACAAUCUUCAUUUCUUGAAAAGUGGUGGCAUGUUUCAAUGCCAUCUUUCAUGAAACCAGGCUCUUAUUUUCCGAUACCUACGUUUGGUAUUAUGUUAUUCUAUAUUGAAUAUGGGAUUAUAAUCUCGAAUUAACCUGGUCCAUAACGAUGUAUAGAUUACGAUUAAGCUACCAAAAAGAGAUUCUAUGACCACAUAAUUAACUGUUGUUAACACUUUUUAUGGUGUUUUUAUGGAACUUAUCUUCUUUA